RNAcentral lists this ribosomal RNA (900 nucleotides) under uncultured bacterium. RNAcentral describes it as "bacterial SSU rRNA". It matches the Rfam family "Bacterial small subunit ribosomal RNA", at positions 29 to 922 of the family's 1533-position model. The record is from RNAcentral.
UUAGAAAGCUUUGCGGCAGGCCUAACACAUGCAAGUCGAGCGGUAGAGAGAAGCUUGCUUCUCUUGAGAGCGGCGGACGGGUGAGUAAUGCCUAGGAAUCUGCCUGGUAGUGGGGGAUAACGUUCGGAAACGAACGCUAAUACCGCAUACGUCCUACGGGAGAAAGCAGGGGACCUUCGGGCCUUGCGCUAUCAGAUGAGCCUAGGUCGGAUUAGCUAGUUGGUGAGGUAAUGGCUCACCAAGGCGACGAUCCGUAACUGGUCUGAGAGGAUGAUCAGUCACACUGGAACUGAGACACGGUCCAGACUCCUACGGGAGGCAGCAGUGGGGAAUAUUGGACAAUGGGCGAAAGCCUGAUCCAGCCAUGCCGCGUGUGUGAAGAAGGUCUUCGGAUUGUAAAGCACUUUAAGUUGGGAGGAAGGGCAUUAACCUAAUACGUUAGUGUUUUGACGUUACCGACAGAAUAAGCACCGGCUAACUCUGUGCCAGCAGCCGCGGUAAUACAGAGGGUGCAAGCGUUAAUCGGAAUUACUGGGCGUAAAGCGCGCGUAGGUGGUUUGUUAAGUUGGAUGUGAAAUCCCCGGGCUCAACCUGGGAACUGCAUUCAAAACUGACUGACUAGAGUAUGGUAGAGGGUGGUGGAAUUUCCUGUGUAGCGGUGAAAUGCGUAGAUAUAGGAAGGAACACCAGUGGCGAAGGCGACCACCUGGACUAAUACUGACACUGAGGUGCGAAAGCGUGGGGAGCAAACAGGAUUAGAUACCCUGGUAGUCCACGCCGUAAACGAUGUCAACUAGCCGUUGGAAGCCUUGAGCUUUUAGUGGCGCAGCUAACGCAUUAAGUUGACCGCCUGGGGAGUACGGCCGCAAGGUUAAAACUCAAAUGAAUUGACGGAAGGGC